Vespula pensylvanica (western yellowjacket) is the source of this 1017-nucleotide long non-coding RNA. RefSeq lists it as uncharacterized. NCBI's taxonomy places the organism in Eukaryota, Metazoa, Arthropoda, Insecta, Hymenoptera, Vespidae. The transcript is spliced from 2 exons. The record is from RefSeq and is a predicted model, not a curated record.
GAGGUGGCGGUGGAUGGUCUGGAGGUGGUGGUGGAUGGUCUGGAGGUGGCGGUGGAGGCUGGUGGUAAAAGUAUACGCGGUAUCUACUAAUCGAUUCGAAAUCAUCGGUUUUCUCAAGAUCAUAAGUGCACUUAAUCGACCGGAUGGAUUUCAACACGCCGUCGUUGCCGAAGAAACGUUCCCAAUCUCCUCCUUUCGAAAUUUUUGAGAGAAACAUCCAAUAUUAUAAAUCCAAUAUUAUAAAAAGAGGACGUGAAUUAAGCAAGUACCGAAAUGAUUUAAGAAAACGAAGAAACCGAAGAAUUAUUUGCAAAUUUCUGUUAUGUCUAUAGAAGUUUCAAAAAAAGGAAAAAAUUGAAGAAACAUUUCGAAAGAAGUAACACGUCGGAUCGUUUGAAAAGAUACCAGCAGAGUAUUCGAAGAUUGGAUUUGCUUUCUUUGUUACAAAAGAAAGAGAGCGAAAGAGAAAGAAGAGAGAAAGAAACCAGUGGACAACGAAGAUCGUCACGUUCUUCGAUGAUGAGAAAAGAACGAUACCUUCGAUGGCAUACCAUUAUCGAUUCUCACUCUUCUUCGAGAUAAAAAUUCUAGAGAUCUUUAAGAAUAGAAUCAGUCUCUAUUUUCGAGCGUUGUUAUCCGAACUGAUAAGAACGAGAAAGGAGGGAGAAGAGGACAGUCUCUUCGUGAUAACUACAUUUACGAUGAUACACCUCACACACCGCGUAUACCUAUAAUACUUAUCUCUACACCUACUCUUACCUAUGUACUCUUACCAAGAUAAAACGGGUAAAAUUUGUGAUAAAUGAGAACAAAGAAAAUUCUAUUGUGAUUCAACACAGUGCCGAGAAUUUAGUGAACUCGUUCGCGGCACUUAGAUAUAUAUAUAUAUAUACAUACAUUCAUUCAUACAUACAUACAUAUAUAUAUAUUUUUGAUAAUCGAAAAAUAUUUCCGAAAAGUACAGAAAAAAAGGACCCUGCUAGCGACAGUAUAAAUAAACGACUCACGUCGGAAAAA